RNAcentral lists this ribosomal RNA (497 nucleotides) under uncultured bacterium. RNAcentral's name for it is "partial 16S ribosomal RNA". It matches the Rfam family "Bacterial small subunit ribosomal RNA", at positions 28 to 523 of the family's 1533-position model. The record is from RNAcentral.
GAUGAACGCUGGCGGCGUGCUUAACACAUGCAAGUCGAACGAAGCACUUUAAUCGAUUUCUUCGGAUUGAAAUUUUAGUGACUGAGUGGCGGACGGGUGAGUAACGCGUGGGUAACCUGCCUCACACAGGGGGAUAACAGUUGGAAACGGCUGCUAAUACCGCAUAAGCGCACAGUACCGCAUGGUACGGUGUGAAAAACUCCGGUGGUGUGAGAUGGACCCGCGUCUGAUUAGCUAGUUGGCAGGGCAGCGGCCCACCAAGGCGACGAUCAGUAGCGGACCUGGGAGGGUGACCGGGCACAUUGGGACUGAGACACGGCCCAAACUCCUACGGGCGGUAGCAGUGGGGAAUAUUGCACAAUGGGGGAAACCCUGACGCGGCGACGCCGCGUGAGCGAAGAAGUAUUUCGGUAUGUAAAGCUCUAUCAGCAGGGAAGAAGAAAUGACGGUACCUGACUAAGAAGCACCGGCUAAAUACGUGCCAGCCGCCGCUGUAA